RNAcentral lists this ribosomal RNA (253 nucleotides) under uncultured bacterium. RNAcentral describes it as "partial 16S ribosomal RNA". It matches the Rfam family "Bacterial small subunit ribosomal RNA", at positions 524 to 776 of the family's 1533-position model. The record is from RNAcentral.
UACGUAGGGGGCAAGCGUUGUCCGGGUUUACUGGGUGUAAAGGUCGCGUAGGUGGGUUUGUAAGUCAGAGGUGAAAUCCUGCAGCUUAACUGUAGAACUGCCUCUGAUACUGCAAAUCUUGAGUUCAGAAGAGAGAAGCGGAAUUCCAGGUGUAGUAGUGAAAUACGUAGAUAUCUGGAAGAGCACCAGUGGCGAAGGCGGCUUCUUGGUCUGUAACUGACACUGAGGCGCGAAAGCGUGGGGAGCAAACAGG